Gadus morhua (Atlantic cod) is the source of this 3349-nucleotide long non-coding RNA. The record is from Ensembl. Lineage: Eukaryota; Metazoa; Chordata; Actinopteri; Gadiformes; Gadidae.
AUAAUAAUUGUUGUCCACACUCUAAAAAGUAUAUUUUUUCAAAAGUUGAAGUAAAGUACUGUUUUGAAUAAGUCUGAUUCAGAUUUCUGCUUUAGCGACGGCAAUUUACUUUUGUGUAUUAUAUCAAAUAUAAAUUGUACUUUAUUACAUUGACCUGCUAUAGGCCUAUGUCACGGAACAAUUGAAGACCGGAAGAAGCUCGCGGAGUAGGGUAACUGCUCUUCCGCUUAGCUUAGCUAAGCUGUUUACCAUGGCGGAGGCAGAUCAAUACCUUUGGACCAAGUCUCUCCAACCUACCUAAAUUGUCCUACGACGACGUCCUAAGGAUAGUAAAUCAGCACUUACGUGUCGAAACAUCUAAACUACGCAAAGGAUAUAAGUUAUUCUGGGAGAAGUACAUUUUUAAUUACAUAGACACAUGACAACCACUUCACAGGGGAGAAAAGCGUGCCAACACCUCUGUCGUGCACCAGUGUUCUGCAGACGUGGACCAAGGACACAGGGGAUUCGCUCCAGGGGAUUCGCCCGGAACCCAUUGACCAACUUAUGGUCAGGAAACCCAAGGUUUGGGUUAGGUGUUUUAUUUGAGCACAUACAUGGACACAUACCUCCUGAAUGCCAAGUAAAUAUGGCCGAGGGAUACACACACCCCAUUCCAUUUAUUUAUUUCUGUUAAAUGUAUAUAUGUAAAUAUUUUAAUCAAAGAAUUGGAAACGAACAUUCCUGAACAUUUGUUUUAAGGUAACACACUCUGAGCACCUUUAAAACAAGCCUGAAGACUUUUAUGUUUGCAUUAGCUUUCUGCUACAUCUUAAAUACAUUGCACUUUCUAAAAAGCUUUUUUAACUUUGCCUUUAUUUUCUAUUUUAAUACUAAAAUGCCUUUAACUUUCUAUUUUACUCAUUUCUCUGCAUAUGUUUUCUUUUACUUAUCUAUUUUAUUGUAUGACAAUGUUUAUAUGUGAAGCACUUUGAGUCUUCCCUUGUGUAUGAAAAGUGCUAAAUAAAGUUGCCUUGCCUAACACACAGAACAUUUCAUUUCUUUCUGUUAAAUGUAAAUAUGUAUAUAUGUAAAUUUAAAAAAAAGAACUGGAAACAAACAUUAAAUAAACAUUUGAAAAGGACGGACGGACACAAACACACACACCAUUUUAAUUUCUUUCUGCUAAAUGUAAACAAAGAACAUUAAUAAACGUUUGAAAAUAGUCAUGUGACGUCAUGUGUGUUUUAAUGUGUAACACUGGGACAUCACCCUUAACAUCUAAAGGACCUUGAUAGUUAGACAUCAAGCAAGAAUUUACCCACAGCUGAUUGACAGAGACUGAAAGAGUCAGAGGAAUGGUUGUGCCCAGAUAUGAUAUUCUUUGACCCUUCUGAUGGCCCUCUCCAAGAUUCUAAGUUGGGCGAUACUCACUGGUUAACCUGGUGCCUCUUUUAAAUGGCGGCAUUAUGAGGGUGGCCCCAACUUCAGAAAGCAUCUUGUCGAUAACAAAGCCUUUGUCAGCCAUGCAUGCAUCUCCUGGCUGAAGUAGACUAAGGAUUCCUGACUGCUGUGUGAUUUCUCUAUCUGAUAUGGAACCAGUGUACAGCUUAUAAAUUAGCUUAGAAAUGAAGGUGAUAACUCCACGUGAAGCAAUGCCAAUCAGACCUUUGAAGGUGUUGGUAUUCUUGUAGUGGGAGAAUGUUUCAGACUGGAGGGUGAGUGAUGAGGGUGCCUCACACCUGAUUUCUGUGCCGUCUAGAAUCACUCGCACGUUAGGACAGUACUGGGCAAAAAAAUAUCUCAACCAAGAUUUAUUUUGUCCUUCGGGAAAGCGUGGAAGCUGAGGUAUGGCUGUAUACGUCCUGAUGUAGAGCAACACGGUACAACAAGAACAACUGCGAAAGGGAGCUGCCAUUGUUGUUGCUGCUGGACGCGACCGGAAGUUGGAUUACCCUACUACGCGUUCCGGAAGCAGGAAGUGUGACAUAGGCCUAUUCUUAUGCAAAUGAAAGCGCUUCAAUUAGGUUUCCCUGUCUAACGUCAUGACGUGGACGUUUAUUUGUUGAACUUCAACGUCUUUUCCAGCCAGAUUUCUGUAGCUGAAGCUGAUAUUUUUUCUCCUCGUCAAUCUCAUCAUCCACGCGGUAAAGGUCACUCUGAAAAACCGUACGUUUAAUGUAGACAAAGUCAUGUGUUACAAAUUGUAUUUGUCAGAUAACAAAUGUUCUGCCUGUAUUGGUCAAAAAAUGUACGUCUUAAGGGUUAACUUUAGUUUACGAACUGAACCAGACCAGUGCCAUGCCGUAAUUCCGACGCCUCAUUGUUCCGACGUCUCAAUGGUCCGAAAUAUUUCCCAUUAGAUCGACAUGCCACUAUGCCGACGGUUAAAUUUUACGAAAACGGAACCCAGUGUUCCGAAGGCCCGUUUGUCCGAUAAAUCAAACAAGAGGCGCAUUAUAGGCCGACGGUUCAAUAUGCCGAAUAGGCCUACAUAACCGUUGGCCUAAUGCGCCUUUCCAAUGGGAAAUAUUUCGGACCAUUGAGACGUCGGAGCAAUGAGGUGUCGGAAUUAGGGUUAUCUUUAGGUUAGAUUAACAUGUUCGAUGCAUUUAACGGAUUUUGUGAAAAGUGUUAUAUGUUCAAACCACUGGUGUGCUAAAGGUAAUGGCAUUAAAAAUUAUAGUGAUCGUUAUGCUAUUAACUGAUCAGUAGCAGCAGCGCUCUGAUGCUAUUUCAUUUAGCAUUUUGCUAAAUGAAUGACUUGUGCAAGUAACUUCAACGCGGGGCUCUCGUGGUGUAAUACUGUUACUGAAAGUAGUCUAAAGUUAACGUAUGUCAUACUGUGUACUGGUUAAGCUGCUUAUUUGCACAUUAACACGGAUACAUUUAGGCUUACAUGUGUUUGCAACUGUGCUACGCUCGCUCUCCGUUCUGUUAAGAUGUGUGUGGGGGUGGGUGUUUGGGUGUUUUACUGCCGCCACCGUCUCCGUUUACGUAUUUAGUGAGACACAGGCGACGAGAGAGGGUGCAUGUCGUUCUCAUGAAGCACAGUGGUGAGUCCGGCCGCUAAUUAAACAACACCACUGUUCUGCUGCUAUUCCUUUUAAAAAAAUUGUCAGUUUGCUAGCGGAGAGUUGGAGUAAACCUUUGGUUAGUAACCUUGUGCAAGGUAGUCUUGUGGUGUAAUACCGUUACUGAAAGUAAACGUAAGUCAUGUAGUUUACUGGUUAUGCCGCUUAUUUGCACAUCAGCGUGGAUACUUAAAGGCAUUUAUUUUACGGUCAAUGUGGUUACCCCCUAUAAGAAGAGUAUCCCCGGCCGCGGGAGCACGCAUAGUGCAGGUGGAAGCACACAGACACUACGGUUC